RNAcentral lists this ribosomal RNA (472 nucleotides) under uncultured Magnetococcus sp. RNAcentral's name for it is "bacterial SSU rRNA". It matches the Rfam family "Bacterial small subunit ribosomal RNA", at positions 79 to 587 of the family's 1533-position model. The record is from RNAcentral. Lineage: Bacteria; Pseudomonadati; Pseudomonadota; Magnetococcia; Magnetococcales; Magnetococcaceae.
UUCGGGAUGCCGGCGAGUGGCAAACGGGUGAGUAACGCGUGGAUACCUGUCCUAUGGUGGGGAAUAACGUUUAGAAAUGAACGCUAAUACCGCAUAAGCCCUACGGGGGAAAGAUUUAUCGCCAUAGGAGGGGUCUGCGCCGGAUUAGCUAGUUGGUGGGGUAAAGGCCUACCAAGGCGACGAUCCGUAGCUGGUCUGAGAGGAUGAUCAGCCACACUGGGACUGAGACACGGCCCAGACUCCUACGGGAGGCAGCAGUGGGGAAUAUUGCGCAAUGGGGGAAACCCUGACGCAGCGACGCCGCGUGGGUGAAGAAGGCCUUAGGGUUGUAAAGCCCUUUCAGCAGGAAAGAUUGUGACGGUACCUGCAGAAGAAGCUCCGGCUAACUCCGUGCAGCAGCCGCGGUAAUACGGAGGGAGCUAGCGUUGUUCGGAAUUACUGGGCGUAAAGGGCGCGUAGGCGGUUUGACAAG